Molecule: ribosomal RNA, 459 nt
Filed under: uncultured bacterium
Lineage: Bacteria
Description: partial 16S ribosomal RNA
Rfam family: Bacterial small subunit ribosomal RNA
Source: RNAcentral
CCUACGGGUGGCAGCAGUGAGGAAUAUUGGUCAAUGGGCGAGAGCCUGAACCAGCCAAGUCGCGUGAGGGAGUACUGCCCUAUGGGUUGUAAACCUCUUUUGUCGGGGAGCAAAAGCCGGACGUGUCCGGCUGUGAGAGUACCCGAAGAAAAAGCAUCGGCGAACGCCGUGCCAGCAGCCGCGGGAAGCCGGAGGGUGCGAGCGUUAAUCGGAAUUACUGGGCGUAAAGCGCUCGUAGGCGGUAUGUCAAGUCAAGGGUGAAAUCCCCGGGCUCAACGUGGGAACCGCCUGUGAAACUGGCAAACGGGAGUGUGUGAGAGGAGAGCGGAAUUCCAGGUGUAGGAGUGAAAUCCGUAGAUAUCUGGAGGAACAUCAGUGGCGAAGGCGACUAUCUGGCACAUAACUGACGCUGAGGAGCGAAAGCGUGGGUAGCAAACAGGAUUAGAUACCCCAGUAGUC